This 570-nucleotide ribosomal RNA is filed under the name uncultured bacterium. RNAcentral describes it as "bacterial SSU rRNA". It matches the Rfam family "Bacterial small subunit ribosomal RNA", at positions 584 to 1143 of the family's 1533-position model. The record is from RNAcentral.
CAAGUCAGAUGUGAAAGCCUUCUGUUCAACGGAAGAAUUGCAUCUGAAACUGCUAAUCUUGAGUAUAGGAGGGGAGAAUGGAACUUCUGGUGGAGCGGUGAAAUGCGUAGAUAUCAGAAGGAACGCCGGCGGCGAAAGCGAUUCUCUGGCCUAUUACUGACACUCAGUGUGCGAAAGCUAGGGGAGCAAACGGGAUUAGAUACCCCGGUAGUCCUAGCCGUAAACGAUGGGCACUAAGUAGAGGGGAUUACCUAUGUUCUCCCUGCCGUAGCUAACGCAUUAAGUGCCCCGCCUGGGGAGUACGGCCGCAAGGCUAAAACUCAAAAGAAUUGACGGGGGCUCGCACAAGCGGUGGAGCAUGUGGCUUAAUUCGAUGCAACGCGAAAAACCUUACCGGGGCUUGACAUGAUAGAAGUAGGAACCUGAAAGGGGGACGAACGGUAUCCAGUCCGUAGCUAUUACAGGUGUUGCAUGGCUGUCGUCAGCUCGUGUCGUGAGACGUUGGGUUAAGUCCCCUAACGAGCGAAACCCUUGUUUUUAGUUACCAGCGGGUUAUGCCGGGUACUCUAG